AGUGAACGCUGGCGGUAGGCCUAACACAUGCAAGUCGAACGGCAGCACAGUAAGAGCUUGCUCUUACGGGUGGCGAGUGGCGGACGGGUGAGGAAUACAUCGGAAUCUACUUUUUCGUGGGGGAUAACGUAGGGAAACUUACGCUCAUACCGCAUACGACCUACGGGUGAAAGCAGGGGAUCUUCGGACCUUGCGCGAUUGAAUGAGCCGAUGUUGGAUUAGCUAGUUGGCGGGGUAAAGGCCCACCAAGGCGACGAUCCGUAGCUGGUCUGAGAGGAUGAUCGGCCACACUGGAACUGAGACACGGUCCAGACUCCUACGGGAGGCAGCAGUCGGGAAUAUUGGACAAUGGGCGCAAGCCUGAUCCAGCCGUACCGCGUGGGUGAAGAAGGCCUUCGGGUUGUAAAGCCCUUUUGUUGGGAAAGAAAAGCAGCAGGUUAAUACCCCGCUGUUCUGACGGUACCCAAAGAAUAAGCACCGGCUAACUUCGUG
Molecule: ribosomal RNA, 492 nt
Filed under: uncultured bacterium
Lineage: Bacteria
Description: partial 16S ribosomal RNA
Rfam family: Bacterial small subunit ribosomal RNA
Source: RNAcentral